This is a long non-coding RNA of Malurus melanocephalus (red-backed fairy wren), 786 nucleotides long. RefSeq lists it as uncharacterized. The transcript is spliced from 4 exons. The record is from RefSeq and is a predicted model, not a curated record. NCBI's taxonomy places the organism in Eukaryota, Metazoa, Chordata, Aves, Passeriformes, Maluridae.
UUUGUGAGGAAACCCUGACUGCUGAUUAAAUUUGUAUUGACAUGACUGCAUUCUGUAUUAACAAGAAAACAGCUACUUCAGGCCCCUGAAUCACAUCUUUUCCUCUGCUCUUUCUUUAAGAAUUUCAUGAAGCUACGGGAUGGAUGAGUGAAAGCUGAUAACUGUAACUUAAGCAUCAUCUUACUGGGAACAUGCUUAAUCUGCCAAAAGCUCUGCUGAACUCUGACUGCAAACCAUUCCAAAGCCCCAAUUUCUCAUGCAAACGUCUCAUGACCUCAGGUGAUGCAGUGCCCCUGCAAUCUCUGUCAACUGAUGGAUCACUGCUGCAACUGGACAAUAAUGCUGGAAGGUUCUGGAACCAAGCAAUUGGGCUUUGCUUGCUGCAGGUGCUCUCCACAGCUGUGGUCCUUUGAGCUAACCAGCUCCUCCAUCCCCUUCUCUCUUAUUCCAUCUCUUCUCAGGUUUUGGCAAAUUUUCCUCACCCUUCURGCUUUUAGGCAGUGCUGAUAAUAGAACAGGAACAGGAUUCAUUUAUCCUUUUAUCACAAAGCUCUUUAAAGCCUGAAAAGGAUGGACUUCAAAGGCAGGAAAAUGGGACACGGUGCAGGUGAACAGGGGAGAAGGGUGUGUGUUCAAUGAGCUCUUCUCCAUGCAAGCAAAGAAAGCCAUUUCUGGCUGCCUUCUCUAAUGUUGUGCUCCAAUUGCAAGGGCAAAUGCCAAAUGGGAUAGAUCUCAGUUAAAAGGGAAGUUUAGAGCUGAGCUAUUAGAAAGGCAAGAGCGGCUGGG